Pelobates cultripes (western spadefoot toad) is the source of this 499-nucleotide non-coding RNA. Lineage: Eukaryota; Metazoa; Chordata; Amphibia; Anura; Pelobatidae. The record is from the annotation of a GenBank genome assembly.
CUGCAAUUAAUUUCAGGUGCAAAUCAAACUAAUUCAUUACUCUAGGCAGAUUAUUUGGUGAAACUUCUGCCUGUAUCCAGUUUGAGCCACUUCACCAUAAGUCAGACUCCCUCAUUCCUGUGUGUUGCAAUAGGCAUACCAGACCAAUCUGGAAGUACAAAUCCUUAGGUUACACUUCCUGGGGCUGGCUCAGGUUCUGAGUUAUUAGUUCAAAAUGCAGGAAUUAGAGUUUGGUUACUGUAACGGACCGUGUUGCACAAAAGGGGUAAAAACCGUUUAGGCGAUCGGCCCCCUUUCCAGAGGUACAGGCACAGCUACUGCAGAACACCAAACUCCCGAACUGGAUACAAAAUAGCACUCCAACUCCUGAACUGGAACCUCCCAAAUAGCUGCUAGCAGACGAACAGGAAAAGCAGACAAUCAGUUUACACUCCUGGCAAUCAGUCUCUAACAGCAUACAGUGAAUCCCCCCAAGAACGAGACAAUGCUCUGUGUUGAG